UAAGGAAUAUUGGACAAUGGUCGCAAGACUGAUCCAGCCAUGCUGCGUGCAGGAGGACGGCCCUAUGGGUUGUAAACUGCUUUUGUACCAGAGAAAACCUAUCUACGUGUAGAUAGCUGAUAGUAUGGUAAGAAUAAGCAUCGGCUAACUUCGUGCCAGCAGCCGCGGUAAGACGAAGGAUGCAAGCGUUAUCCGGAUUCAUUGGGUUUAAAGGGUGCGUAGGCGGGCUUGUAAGUCAGUGGUGAAAUCUCUCAGCUUAACUGAGAAACGGCCAUUGAUACUGCAGGCCUAGAGUAUAGAUGACGUUGGCGGAAUAUGACAUGUAGCGGCGAAAUACUUAGAUAUGUCAUAGAACACCGAGUGCGAAGGCAGCUAACGAAACUAUAACUGACGCUGAGGCACGAAAGUGCGGGGAUCAAACA
RNAcentral lists this ribosomal RNA (422 nucleotides) under uncultured bacterium. RNAcentral's name for it is "bacterial SSU rRNA". It matches the Rfam family "Bacterial small subunit ribosomal RNA", at positions 355 to 774 of the family's 1533-position model. The record is from RNAcentral.